AAAUUGAAGAGUUUGAUCAUGGCUCAGAUUGAACGCUGGCGGCAGGCCUAACACAUGCAAGUCGAACGGUAACAGGAAGCAGCUUGCUGCUUUGCUGACGAGUGGCGGACGGGUGAGUAAUGUCUGGGAAACUGCCUGAUGGAGGGGGAUAACUACUGGAAACGGUAGCUAAUACCGCAUAACGUCGCAAGACCAAAGAGGGGGACCUUCGGGCCUCUUGCCAUCGGAUGUGCCCAGAUGGGAUUAGCUAGUAGGUGGGGUAAAGGCUCACCUAGGCGACGAUC
This 284-nucleotide ribosomal RNA is filed under the name Escherichia coli. RNAcentral's name for it is "partial 16S ribosomal RNA". It matches the Rfam family "Bacterial small subunit ribosomal RNA", at positions 1 to 281 of the family's 1533-position model. Lineage: Bacteria; Pseudomonadati; Pseudomonadota; Gammaproteobacteria; Enterobacterales; Enterobacteriaceae. The record is from RNAcentral.